UGCAGAGCCACAUCCCGGUCGUCGUCUUCGUCCGCAGCCAGCAGGCACAGUACCACGUUAUCGGGGUCUCUGCGGGCAGCGGGGCAGCGAUAAUUCCAGAUGUACUGAAUGAAGUUGACAACCAAGAGUCGCCAUCAUACCUGUGUUUCAACUGGAUUUUCGGACAAAAUGGGUUUAAGCAUCCUCUGCCCCGUGUUCCCAUAUGAUGGCCUCACAGCUGGCCACAGUCAACAGAGCCUUUGAAACUCUGAGCCACAACAACUCUUUCUUUUCUUCUUUAUGUCAGGUAACUGACUUGUCUGCACUCAAAACUCAGAACCUGUCUUUCCCAGAGUAUGACGUCACUCAUCUCUACCCACCUGCUUCCCUCCAGGAAUAGGUGUGCUUGGCUUAGUGCUUGGCUUAUUGAUGACCAAUGAUGUGGUCAGAGGCUACGCUCAGUGGUUUAAGCCACAGAGCUUUGUUCUCUGCUGAGUAUGUGGGUUGGGGUACAUUAAAAGGCACAGAAUUUUUCAAGCAUAGCAACUGUAAUGACUGAAGUUAAAUAAACUUCACCAAGUGUCAAAAAGGGUUUGCAGUAACUGGAAGUUUCAUGUAUUAGUGAGGGAGAUAAACAAACAAAAC
This is a non-coding RNA of Mus caroli (Ryukyu mouse), 624 nucleotides long. NCBI's taxonomy places the organism in Eukaryota, Metazoa, Chordata, Mammalia, Rodentia, Muridae. The record is from RefSeq and is a predicted model, not a curated record.